GAGUAAUGUCUGGGAAACUGCCUGAUGGAGGGGGAUAACUACUGGAAACGGUGGCUAAUACCGCAUAACGUCGCAAGACCAAAGAGGGGGACCUUCGGGCCUCUUGCCAUCAGAUGUGCCCAGAUGGGAUUAGCUUGUUGGUGAGGUAACGGCUCACCAAGGCGACGAUCCCUAGCUGGUCUGAGAGGAUGACCAGCCACACUGGAACUGAGACACGGUCCAGACUCCUACGGGAGGCAGCAGUGGGGAAUAUUGCACAAUGGGCGCAAGCCUGAUGCAGCCAUGCCGCGUGUAUGAAGAAGGCCUUCGGGUUGUAAAGUACUUUCAGCGGGGAGGAAGGUGUUGUGGUUAAUAACCGCAGCAAUUGACGUUACCCGCAGAAGAAGCACCGGCUAACUCCGUGCCAGCAGCCGCGGUAAUACGGAGGGUGCAAGCGUUAAUCGGAAUUACUGGGCGUAAAGCGCACGCAGGCGGUCUGUCAAGUCGGAUGUGAAAUCCCCGGGCUCAACCUGGGAACUGCAUUCGAAACUGGCAGGCUUGAGUCUUGUAGAGGGGGGUAGAAUUCCAGGUGUAGCGGUGAAAUGCGUAGAGAUCUGGAGGAAUACCGGUGGCGAAGGCGGCCCCCUGGACAAAGACUGACGCUCAGGUGCGAAAGCGUGGG
This 661-nucleotide ribosomal RNA is filed under the name Salmonella enterica. Its description in RNAcentral is "bacterial SSU rRNA". It matches the Rfam family "Bacterial small subunit ribosomal RNA", at positions 108 to 765 of the family's 1533-position model. RNAcentral also lists the same sequence under 7 other names. Lineage: Bacteria; Pseudomonadati; Pseudomonadota; Gammaproteobacteria; Enterobacterales; Enterobacteriaceae. The record is from RNAcentral.